UGUCUCUCAUGAAUAAAUAAAAUAUUUAAAAAAAAAGAAAAAGAAAAAAAGAUUUGGCUACCUGUCUCAGGAAAGUAACACAAACUUCAACUAUUCUAAGAUCUAGAAUAAAGUCUAGUAUAUAAUAGGUACCCAAAUAUUUGAAGGAUUAAUUAGCUACACUAAUUGAAGACAGAUGCAAUAUGUAAUUCAAAAUAGGAAAUCUUAAAAAAAAAAAAAGGAAAUCUUUCAGCUCUUGACAAGUCAAAGAUAGUAUUUCCUCCAAAGAUAUAUUAGCAUUUCAGAUUCACUGUAAGACUGCAGAUGUUCUUGUUCAGAAAUCAGGGGUAUUCUUUUAUUUAAAUAACCAUAGUAGAGAGUGUAUUUCUUCUUCAGGCUCAAAAUUGCUGGCCACCCUAAGAUUUCAAAGCAGUCUUCUUCCUAGUAAAUCAUUAUUUCCUCAACAUGUUGUUUCUUACUCUUUCUGCUUUCAGCCCACUGUAAGGAAAAGCUUCCACUGUAGUUAUAGAUAGUUUCUGCUAUAACACACUGAUCAUGCUUUCUACAUUUCAUAACUUGCCAGUUUUCUAGUGGUAUCAAACGAAACUUCCAUACUAAAUAUCUAUUUAGAGGGUCUUUUUGUAGAAUGGCUGUCCCCCUGUCCAAACCAGGUACAUGUGAGUAUAAAGCUUUUAAGUGCUGUUUUGGUAUAUGACCUUUCUCAGAUGACCAGCAGAUUUCCUUUUACCCAAAGAAAGGAUUUCAUGAAGAACUUUAAUGCAUAAGCAUAUUACAUACAUGUACAGAAUAGACCUAUCAUUACAGGAAAAAUUAAGACUCUGAGGUGCUACAUACAUAUUUUUAAUUACAUAUCUUAAUUAAAAUAUGCAUAGCAUAUCAAGAAAAUUGGUUUUCCAUUGUAUCUUAGCAUAUAGAAAUUCACCAUUAGUAAUUUUACCUUGCUUCCAGGAUAAGCAUCUAGCUUGUGUAUAUUCUUUAUAUACAGAAAUAUUUCAGUAAACAAGACUCCUUAAUUGGAAUUUUUCUGCAUUCUACAGCGGUUGUCUGAAACCUGGCUCUGUAUUAGCAUCACUUGAGGACCUUUUAAUACCAGUACCUGGAAUUUACUCUCUCAGAUUCAUUUAAAUUGAUCUAGGCAGAGUGGGACUCUGCCAAGGCCCCAGUAUUAUUUUUUUAAGUGCCCAGAUGAUUCUAAUGUGUAGCCAGGAUUGAGAACCACUGCUCUAGAGAGAUCGACCUUAAACAUAUAAAACACACAAUUAGCCUCUUAAGCACUAUUUGAAAAUCAAAACCAAAAACUUUCAAGAGGGGUUGCUGUUGCCUGUCUUGGUGGUUCUUGCUUAUUUUGUUAUGCUUCUUUUUCCUCUCCUUCCUAUUCUGUUCUAGUCCACUCUUUUCAUUGUGAGAUAGAACAUCUUGUUUUUUACAGAUAAGGGUAAGGAUAGUUGAGACACUGUUUGCUGAUAGCUGCCGCAUACUUUAGAAAAUUUGGUAGAGGUAGGUUUAGAUCUCUCUAGGGGGAUGGAUAUAGACAGGAUUGAGGAGAGAUUCAAAUCGCUUUGGUUUUUUAUUGUAUUAUAGUAACUUCAUAAAUAAACUGAUUUUCCUUGCAUAGCAACAAAAAUUGAAUUCAUAUUAAUCAUAGUGACAAAUAACAAAUAUUGAGAUUCAUAUAAUGUAUUAAAGGGAAUACUCUAAACUGAAGUGUAUCAAUUUAGAUACAGGAAUGAUUUUUAAUGUGUAAAUUUUUAUGAUAAAUGAUUCUAAAAAGUCACCAAGCAAUCUUAAUGAUACCAAAUGAAGAAUUGCAACAAGAUUAUUCACAUUGCACAAUGUUUUAAUUUUUAAAUUGGCAUUUAUGCUUUAGAGGCAUUUUUCAUCAAGCACACAUGUCUACUUCUCCAGAAAAUCUUUCUGGGGUUCAUUUCUGAUUUAUAGAUUUCUCCUGAGACCAGAGAGAUUUUUUUUAGUGGAGACUUACCCAUAUUAUCAUUUAUCUCUCCUGACAAAUUCCAUUUGUGAAGUUUACUCUCUGCAGUGUUAGAAACUUACUGAAAAUACAUUUCACAAAAAAGAAUGAAUUUGUUGAACUUUUAAGGUUUGGUGGUUGACAGUACUUUAUUUCUGUAAUACCUGAGUGUUUUCUUCCUUCCAUGUGUGGGUGUAAAGGUAUUUUGAACCUUCAGAGACACCUUUUCCUUCAAUUUGCUGCCCUUUAAGUUUAGAGAUACUGAAGCUCUAAAAAAAUGUUUUUAAUAUGUAUGGUAGUGGAUCAAACCUCCUCCACUUUUUUAAUGGCCAAGUUUAAAGGAGGGAGCUUAUCUAAGUACAAUAAUUGGUUAAACAUCUUUUUUUCCUCCUGGGUUUCUUUUUAGGAACUACUGACAAUCAAAAACCUAUAGCGGACUUUGGGAUAUGGCUUUAUUAUUCAGCAACUAAAAGAUGAGUUCUAAUUGGCAGACUUCUGGCACUGGCACUUGUCCUCCUGUUUCUAUAGAAACUGGGUUGGAAGUCAGAGCUGCACAAAGGGAAAGGGAUGAGGUCGUCUGUUGGGCACAUACAUUUGUUUUCAUCCAGGCAGACAUCCAUUAUUCGUAGACUCUAAGACACCUGCCAGUUGGCUUGACAUGAUGACAAUGAGAUAUAAGGUAGGAAAGAGCUUUCAAAAGUUAUAGGCGGGGCACCUGGGUGGCUCAGUCAGCAGAGCAUCUGCCUUUGGCUCAGGUCAUGAUCUCGGGGUCCUAGGAUCGAGCCCCAUGUUGGGCUGCCUGCUCAGUGAGGAGGCAGCCCUCUGUCUCU
Molecule: long non-coding RNA, 2799 nt
Organism: Canis lupus familiaris (dog)
Lineage: Eukaryota; Metazoa; Chordata; Mammalia; Carnivora; Canidae
Exons: 3
Source: RefSeq, a predicted model, not a curated record